UACAGAGGGGGCAAGCGUUGUUCGGAAUUACUGGGCGUAAAGGGCGCGUAGGCGGCCUGCUAAGUCGAACGUGAAAUCCCUGGGCUCAACCCAGGAACUGCGUCCGAUACUGGUUGGCUUGAAUCCGGGAGAGGGAUGCGGAAUUCCAGGUGUAGCGGUGAAAUGUGUAGAUAUCUGGAGGAACACCGGUGGCGAAGGCGGCAUCCUGGACCGGCAUUGACGCUGAGGCGCGAAAGCCAGGGGAGCAAACGGG
Molecule: ribosomal RNA, 253 nt
Filed under: uncultured bacterium
Lineage: Bacteria
Description: partial 16S ribosomal RNA
Rfam family: Bacterial small subunit ribosomal RNA
Source: RNAcentral